GUAGGGUGCAAGCGUUGUCCGGAAUUAUUGGGCGUAAAGAGCUCGUAGGCGGUCUGUCGCGUCGGCUGUGAAAACUCGGGGCUCAACCCCGAGCCUGCAGUCGAUACGGGCAGACUAGAGUGCGGUAGGGGAGACUGGAAUUCCUGGUGUAGCGGUGAAAUGCGCAGAUAUCAGGAGGAACACCGGUGGCGAAGGCGGGUCUCUGGGCCGUAACUGACGCUGAGGAGCGAAAGCGUGGGGAGCAAACAGGAUUAGAUACCCUGGUAGUCCACGCCGUAAACGGUGGGUGCUAGGUGUAGGUCGUAUUCCACGCGAUCUGUGCCGCAGCUAACGCAUUAAGCACCCCGCCUGGGGAGUACGGCCGCAAGNNNA
This 372-nucleotide ribosomal RNA is filed under the name uncultured bacterium. RNAcentral's name for it is "bacterial SSU rRNA". It matches the Rfam family "Bacterial small subunit ribosomal RNA", at positions 527 to 896 of the family's 1533-position model. The record is from RNAcentral.